Long non-coding RNA from Labeo rohita (rohu), 213 nucleotides. RefSeq lists it as uncharacterized. The transcript has 3 exons. The record is from RefSeq and is a predicted model, not a curated record. Lineage: Eukaryota; Metazoa; Chordata; Actinopteri; Cypriniformes; Cyprinidae.
CUUGUGAUUGUACUGGUAGUUGUGCUCUUACUGCUCUUAGUGCCACUGCUUAUACUGAUUCAGCAGAACAGAGUGAUGAGGAGAGCUCUCUCUAAGAGGAGACACAGGAUGACGUCUGAGGCCGUUUAUGAGGAGAUUCAGCACAGACACAAUCACUUCACUCAGAGGGGGAGUCUCAUUUCUGAAGAACUGAAUUCUGGGUAUGAAGAUGCU